This 403-nucleotide ribosomal RNA is filed under the name Fusobacteriota bacterium. RNAcentral describes it as "Fusobacteria bacterium partial 16S ribosomal RNA". It matches the Rfam family "Bacterial small subunit ribosomal RNA", at positions 355 to 776 of the family's 1533-position model. Lineage: Bacteria; Fusobacteriati; Fusobacteriota. The record is from RNAcentral.
UGGGGAAUAUUGCACAAUGGAGGGAACUCUGAUGCAGCGACGCCGCGUGAACGAAGAAGGCCUUCGAGUCGUAAAGUUCUUUUAUAUGGGAAGAUAAUGACGGUACCAUAAGAAAAAGCCCCGGCUAACUACGUGUCAGCAGCCGCGGUAAUACGUAGGGGGCUAGCGUUGUCUGGAAUCACUGGGCGUAAAGGGUUCGCAGGCGGAAAUGCAAGUCAGGUGUAAAAGGCAGUAGCUUAACUACUGUAAGCAUUUGAAACUGCAUAUCUUGAGAAGGGUAGGGGUAGGUGGAAUUUCUGGUGUAGCGGUGAAAUGCGUAGAUAUUAGAAAGAAUACCGGCGGCGAAGGCGACUUACUGGGCUCAUUCUGACGCUGAGGAACGAAAGCGUGGGUAGCAAACAGG